GACGAACGCUGGCGGCGUGCUUAACACAUGCAAGUCGAACGGAAAGGCCCUGCUUUUGUGGGGUGCUCGAGUGGCGAACGGGUGAGUAACACGUGAGUAACCUGCCCUUGACUUUGGGAUAACUUCAUGAAACUUGGGCUAAUACCGGAUAGGAGCUCCUGCUUCAUGGUGGGGGUUGGAAAGUUUCGGCGGUUGGGGAUGGACUCGCGGCUUAUCAGCUUGUUGGUGGGGUAGUGGCUUACCAAGGCUUUGACGGGUAGCCGGCCUGAGAGGGUGACCGGACAAAGUGGGAAGGAAAUACGGCACAGACUACUACGGGAGGCAGCAGUGGGGAAUAUUGCACAAUGGGCGGAAGCCUGAUGCAGCAAAGCAGCGUGCGGGAUGACGGCCUUCGGGUUGUAAACCGCUUUCGCCUGUGACGAAGCGUGAGUGACGGUAAUGGGUAAAGAAGCACCGGCUAACUACGUG
RNAcentral lists this ribosomal RNA (468 nucleotides) under uncultured bacterium. RNAcentral describes it as "partial 16S ribosomal RNA". It matches the Rfam family "Bacterial small subunit ribosomal RNA", at positions 28 to 507 of the family's 1533-position model. The record is from RNAcentral.